Molecule: ribosomal RNA, 253 nt
Filed under: uncultured bacterium
Lineage: Bacteria
Description: partial 16S ribosomal RNA
Rfam family: Bacterial small subunit ribosomal RNA
Source: RNAcentral
UACGUAGGGGGCAAGCGUUGUCCGGAUUUAUUGGGCGUAAAGAGCGUGUAGGCGGCUUUGCAAGUCCGUUGUGAAAACUCGAGGCUCAACCUCGAGACGCCGGUGGAAACUGCAAAGCUAGAGUCCGGAAGAGGAGAGUGGAAUUCCUGGUGUAGCGGUGAAAUGCGCAGAUAUCGUGAGGAAGACCAGUGGCGAAGGCGGAUCUCUGGACAGCUCCUGACGCUGAGGCGCGAAGGCUAGGGGAGCAAACGGG